CCUACUGGUGGCUGCAGUGAGGAAUAUUGGUCAAUGGACGAGAGUCUGAACCAGCCAAGUAGCGUGAAGGAUGACUGCCCUAUGGGUUGUAAACUUCUUUUAUAUGGGAAUAAAAUGUUCCAUGUGUGGGAUUUUGUAUGUAACAUAUGAAUAAGGAUCGGCUAACUUCGUGCCAGCAGCCGCGUUAAUACGGAGGAUCCGAGCUUUAACCGGAUUUAUUGGGGUUAAAGAGAGCGUAGGUGGAUUGUUAAGUCCGGUGUGAAAGUUUGCGGCUCAACCGUAAAAUUGCAGUUGAAACUGGCAGUCUUGAGUACAGUAGAGGUGGGCAGAAUUCGUGGUGUAGCGGUGAAAUGCUUAGAUAUCACGAAGAACACCGAUUGCGAAGGCAGCUCACUGGACUGCAACUGACACUGAGGCUCGAAAGUGUGGGUAUCAAACAGGAUUAGAUACCCGUGUAGUC
This 460-nucleotide ribosomal RNA is filed under the name uncultured bacterium. RNAcentral's name for it is "partial 16S ribosomal RNA". It matches the Rfam family "Bacterial small subunit ribosomal RNA", at positions 338 to 795 of the family's 1533-position model. The record is from RNAcentral.